AUAGAUAAUAUAUUUUAAAAUAAAUAAAUUAAUUCAUGUACUUGUAAAAUUAUAAUGCAAAGACAAUAUUUAACAAUCGAGGGAAAGCAUCAAAACGGGAAGGGAAAAGUUUGUUUAUAAUUCAGUCCUGUCUUUCCUAUUUGUUUCAAAAAUGAAAAUCACAGCUAAUCCCUCCUUCAAAGUCGGAACAAAUGAAACACAGCAUAGUUAUACGAUUCAUGGUUGGGAUUAUGCAACAGAGGAUAAAAGAGAGGGGAAGUAACCUAGGAUAAAAGAGAGGGGAAGGAGCAAAGUAUGAUAGGGAAGAUUGAAUGAUUCUAUAUAGAAUGAUAAGCCACUUAAAAUUAAUUGCAUGUACCUUAACAAAUAAGGAAGAGG
RNAcentral lists this unclassified non-coding RNA (378 nucleotides) under Hevea brasiliensis (rubber tree). The record is from RNAcentral. Lineage: Eukaryota; Viridiplantae; Streptophyta; Magnoliopsida; Malpighiales; Euphorbiaceae.